AUGCCCUCCUACAUUGCUCACAUGCACGGAGGUUUUGGGAUGAAGCACAAAUGUGGUUUGAUUUUUUACUCCCUCGGCUGCACCCUGCUACGUGGAGCAGGGAUAUUCUAUGUGAUGAACGGUUCUCGGAUCAAUUUAGGGAAAAGAUCAUAUCUACAUGGAUGGCGACCUCCUAAAGCUGGCCAAAUUACCAUUACUUACGACGACGCUUUGAACGGUGAGCUGGGAGUAAGGGGAGAUGGUGGUGUGGCAAGAUCUGCGUCAUCAUUCCUUGGAGCGUGGAAUAAGCCGUACGCUGGUGUAUCAGAUCCGUUGAUCAUGGAGGUGUUAGCCCUGCGAGAUGCUGUCAAGCUUGCUAAUAUCCGUGGAUUCACGCAGGUUCUCAUGGAGACCGACUAUCUACAAUUAGUUGAGCUUUGGUAUACCCAGAUGGCAUCACGUUCGGUGGUGGCACCACUGCUAGAUGAAAUAGGAUAG
This 477-nucleotide ribosomal RNA is filed under the name Triticum aestivum (bread wheat). RNAcentral describes it as "partial small subunit ribosomal RNA". Lineage: Eukaryota; Viridiplantae; Streptophyta; Magnoliopsida; Poales; Poaceae. The record is from RNAcentral.